This is a long non-coding RNA of Tribolium castaneum (red flour beetle), 914 nucleotides long. RefSeq lists it as uncharacterized. The record is from RefSeq and is a predicted model, not a curated record. The transcript has 2 exons. NCBI's taxonomy places the organism in Eukaryota, Metazoa, Arthropoda, Insecta, Coleoptera, Tenebrionidae.
GCUUUUGAGUCUUCAUUUUUUCACACUCGAGUGCGGUUAAAAGUAGACGCAGUACUGACUCAUCGAACUAAUUCCAGGAAUUAAUAUGUUAUAAUGGAAAUGAUCUAUCAGGCACUUAUUCCGCUGAUCGCAUUUGAAAACUUUACUAAAAUAGAGCGAAUUACGAAGCGGUCCAACGAUUCUCGACGACUGGAUCGUGUCAGUUGGAUUUAUUUCGUGACACAUCGAUGUACCAUAAGCCAACCAGAAUAAUUGAUCGCCGCUAAAAUGCAAACCGUGCAGGUUUUUCUCGACGAAAUUCUGCUUCUCCCAUCUUUUGUAAGCCAAGUAUGCUAUGUCAACAGCGAGAUAAUUCGACAUAAUUGUUAUUAGGCUCUCAUUGCAAUCUAUCUGCAAUUCAAUAAAUAGCACUUGAAGGCCACUUAUCAUUACAAUAGUACCAGCUCGGAAUCUGAUCCACAUCGAGGCAAACAAUGAGUCAUGUUUUUGAAAUUGGAGAACGUAACUUCAGACACAUUUCUCAAAAUUGAGAAAUACAUUGCCUCGAUUAAUUGCUGGGCUAUGGUGGUGCCUAAAGUACCAUAAUUGAGGUAAUUGGGUCUGGUAUCCUCAUACAAGUAACCAUGGAGGGCCCCAGCUGGUACCCCUGGAAAACGAGACUCAACCGGAACUAAUAUCAUAAAUUUUACGUACAAAUCAAGUUAAAUCGUUGCAUAAAUCGAAUUUCCCUCGACGGUACUAGUUCGUAAAACGUGUAUUUGAGGUAAUUCGUCUCUUUGUAUUUCUUAUUAAAUAGCAAGUCGAGUCCUUUUUCAAACAGUUUCAUGUUUAUGUGGAUUAUAUUCGACGAAUUGAAUUCAAGCUAAAUCGAACAUUAGUUAGUUUCUGGCAAAAUAAAAAACUGAUUACCUCUC